RNAcentral lists this long non-coding RNA (825 nucleotides) under Malus domestica (apple). RNAcentral's name for it is "long non-coding RNA (MDOM_LNC017296)". The record is from RNAcentral. Lineage: Eukaryota; Viridiplantae; Streptophyta; Magnoliopsida; Rosales; Rosaceae.
UUAAUUUAUGAGAAGUAGUUCCGCACAUUUAUUUUGUCUCUCAAUAUAUUUUUAUUUAUUUUGUCUCUCAAUAUAUUUUUAUUUAUUUUUGUUCUCCAUCAAAGAAGAAUUAAGGAAUUAAAAUAAAAAGAGUUGUGCAAGAAAUCAUUCCCUUAAUUUGGUGAUGAUAAUUUCAAACUCUUUUGGAAAUUUAACUAAUUGACCCUUUAGUUGAGUAUAAAAUAUUAAGUUAAGAGUUUUAUAUGUACGUAUAUAUGAUCAUGCAGGUUGUAUCAGCACAGACAGCCCUUCCUGUAGAGGACACAACUCAUCACGAGGAAUCAGUCAAGGCUCAAGAGAUUGUUAUCACUCCUACUACUGAAGAACCAGCAGCUGAAGUUGCGGAUGAACCAAAGGAAGCUGUUGUGGCUUCUGAGGAAGAAGUACCUAAGGCUGAGGUCGAGGAAACCGUAGUUGAAGCUGAGGCAAAGGAUGUGAAGGUAGAGGAGCCCAAGGAAGUUGCAGCAGUCGAAAAAGAAGAAGAACCAACUGUGGAGAAGACUACAACUGAAGAGGAAACUACUACACCUAAUAAGGUAGCACCUGAGCCAGAGCCAGAACCAGUACUUGAGGAGGAGGCCAAGGACAAGGAGGAUACUGCUGAUGACUCUGCUGAGAUUCCUCCGGUGGUACCAGUUACACCGGAGGCAGAAUCAGCAGUUGAGGCCCCUAAAGAGGAGGUAGCAGUUAAGGAAGAAGAGAAGGCAACUGAGGUUGAGGAGAAAGUUGGCACUGAAGCUCCUGGGGUGAAGGCUGAGUGAUUUGGGGUUUGCAUGAAUGUUAAGG